AGAUCAACUAGCUGACAUAUUCACCAAGGCAGCCAGCAACAAAGUUUGUGAGUCCAUCCUCCCUAGGCUUGGACUCAUAAACAUUCCAUGUCAAUGAUCCCCUCACCAUGGAGUGUUCUACUCUUUUUCCUUUGCUUGGUUUUUAUCCCAAGUGGUUUUUCCAAGUAAAGGUUUUAAUGAGGGAAUACUUCAUGCCUUUCCAAGCUUGACACUCACCACUGUCAAGCUUGAGGGGGAGUGUUGACAUGAAGACAUUCAGAGCAUAAACAAGAAGUAGAGAUCAAGAGAAGCAUGCUUGAUGAGGAGUUAAGUGGCGCAUCCGUACAAGGGUGUACGGAUAUCUCUCCCUUAACCUAGCUUGGAUAUCAAGGCAAGUACUGGUAAGGCAUUGACAUGAGAUCGCGUGUAAGAGCAUCCUAAGUCCCUGGAGUUGUUUAAUAUAAAGAAGGUGACCGUUGGGAGCUAAGGAACAAAGCAAGAUCACAUGUGAGGUUAAGGAAGAGAGAGAUUGGCGAGAGGUCACUAUCACCUCACCUGUCCGAGCUCAGCUUGUCCUAUUUGUCUACAUUGUUUAUAGUUUCUUGUUUGUCUUAGUAUAGCAACUUGUAGUCUAUAUUAAGGAUGUAACCAGACCCAAAAUGAAUCAAGGAAAUGAGUUCCUCUUCUCUUUAGUCUUAUGCGAUUCUCUCUCUCUCUCUCUCUCUCUCGGUUCUCUUCACAUUCUUCAUAAUUCUCAUAAUGACUUAAACAAAUCACAUAUUCUUUCAUGGUAUCAGAGCAACCUUACUCUUGAGACCUAAACCUUUUUCUUUCUUCCGCAAAUUCUCUGAGUUCUAAAUUCUAUUUUUGGCAAAGUUCAUCUUGUUCUUGAUUCUUUGUUUCCAGAAUUUGCCAAAAAUAGCAAAAACCAUCCGAAACCUUUUUCUUUUCUUUUCUCUCUUGAUGGAUACCUCUGAGAACACAAAGAUGGUGAUGAUACCAGUCACACUCAAGGGUCCUAACUACCUGACAUGGGCAAGACUUGCCAAAACAGCUCUCGGAGGCAGAGGUCUUUGGGAAGUUGUUGAAGAAGGCCGCCCCACCAAGAAGACUGUCCUAGGAGAGGAUGGCAAAGAGGUGGUGAUUGCGGAUGCUGGGGAGAAGAAGAAAGGUCAGGAGGACCUCAUGGUGUUGUCUAUCAUCCAGAAUAGCCUCGCUCCUUCUCUCCAAGAGGCUUAUGCCUUUUGUGAGACCUCCAAAGAGUUGUGGGACACUCUUAAGAAGGUAUAUGCUAAUAAAUCCAACAUAAGCAAGGUGUAUGAAGUGAAAGGAGCCAUCAACUCUCUCAGUCAAGAGGACACAGACUUUGAUGCUCACUUUGGGAAGUUCAGGUCCCUAUGGGCCGAGCUAGAGAUGCUCAGGCCAGCCACUGUCGACCCAGAUGUUCUUCAUGAAAGGAGAGAGCAGGAUAAGGUCUUUGCCUUACUACUUACCCUUAACCCAGGGUAUGAUGACCUAAUCAGGCACAUACUGAGGAACAAGGAGCUUCCCUCCCUUGAUGAAGUGUGUGCGGAGAUCCAAAAGGAGCACGGCUCAGUGGGUCUCUUUAAGAGAAAGGGAGAGAUGGUGAUGGCCAAUCAAGCUGAAGGAGCCGAGAACAAACCUGCCGGAGUAGCCAACAAAGGAUACUAUAAGCCUGAGGAUAGGAAGGUGUGGGUGUGUGACCACUGCAAGAAGAAGGGUCAUGGGAAGGACAAGUGCUGGAUCCUUCACCCACAUCUCAAACCGGCCAAAUUCAGAACUGAAGGAAGGGCCAACUACUCGGGUGACAUUGGAGAAACAUCCAACCGCUCUCAAGCUGUUGAGGAGAAAAAGCAGGGCCAUGAUGAUACCAUCAAGAAGUCUGACAUUGAGGCUCUCAUCAAAGCUCUUAAGGAGUCCGGUAACACCCUUGGAACUUCUCUUAAUGCUACUUAUCACACGCCUAGAGGUCUCUUUACUUCUUAUCAAGUAGCUCACCAAACUGAGAGAGUUAAGCCUUUAGUUAUAGACUCAGGCGCCUCUCACCAUAUGAUAAGUGAUGUUAACUUGAUUAGUAACAUAGAACCUGUGAUAGGCAAUGUGAUGAUAGCUAAUGGUGAUAAAAUUCCAAUUAAGGGAGUAGGAACACUUAAGCUGUUUGAUAAAGACUCUAAAGCUUUCUAUAUGCCUACUUUUGCCUCUAACCUUCUUUCUGUAAAACGGGCUACUACUGAUCUAAAUUGUAAUGUCAUAUUUAGUCCUAAUGAAGUUGUGUUUCAGGAUAUUGAGACUCUUAAGUUGAUUGGCAAAGGUGUGACAAAGGGAGAUCUCUACCUUCUUGAAGACGCCAAGACUCCUUCUUAUUUAUCUUCAGCUUUUAGUUCAAUUCCUGUCUUAGAUCAUGAUGUAUUGUGGCAUGCUAGGCUAGGCCAUCCUCAUUCCCGUGCACUGAACUUGUUGUUACCUGAUAUUUCUUUUAAAAAUGAUGGCUGUGAAGCUUGUAUCCUUGGUAAACAUUGCAAGACCGUUUUCCCUAAGUCAUCUACAAUCUAUGAAAAUUGCUUUGAUCUUAUACACUCUGAUGUUUGGACUGCACCAUGCAUAUCUAGGGAGAAUCAUAAGUAUUUUGUCACGUUUAUAGAUCAGAAAUCAAAAUAUACUUGGCUGACUAUGAUUCCAACUAAAGAUAGAGUGCUAGAUGCUUUCAUUAAUUUCCAAACUUACAUAACUAAUCAAUUCAAUGUUAAGAUCAAAGUGUUCAGGUCAGACAAUGGGGGGGAAUACACAAGUCAUGGUUUCAAAAAUUACCUGGCCAAGCAUGGAAUACUUCAUCAAACGAGCUGUCCAUAUACACCCCAACAGAAUGGAGUGGCUGAGAGGAAAAAUCGGCACCUUAUGGGCGUGGCCAGAUCCAUGAUGUUUCAGACCAAUGUUCCUAAGCGGUUCUGGAGUGAUGCAGUCAUGACAGCAUGUUAUCUGAUCAACCGCACUCCAACCAGAAUCCUUGGUGACCUCACACCAUAUGAGGUAAUGAACAAAAGAAAACCCUCUAUUGAUCAUUUACGUGUAUUUGGUUGCUUGUGUUAUGUCUUGCAGCCAGAUGGACAAAGAAACAAGCUUGAGCCACGGAGCACCAAGGCAGUUUUUCUUGGCUAUUCCACUACCCAAAAGGGGUAUAAAUGCUAUGUUCCAGAGGCCAGGAAGGUAUUGGUCUCCAGAGAUGUGAAGUUUGUGGAAUCUAGAGGAUACUUUGAGAAGAAAAGUUGGGAUGAGCUCAAAGAUCUCUCUCAACCGUCCUCAGACAGAGCAGACACACUAAGGCGGCUUAUGCAGAACUUGGGAAUCAGUUUGUUUCCAUCUGCUGGCACUCAGGAGACUGGAGCUGUUCCGGAGACAGUGAGAGAUCCACAAGAUUCUCAUCCUGAUCCUGAAUGGGGGAACAACAAUGAUCAUGAGGCUGAGGGCAAUGAUCCUAAUGUUCAUGAUCCGGAUGAGCAGAUGCAGCAAGAGGCUGACCAAACCACUGAUGUGAACUCUGGAGGAGUCGAAUCAAGUGGACAAGAAGAUGUACAAGAGGUGCAGCAGCUUAGGAGAAGCACAAGAGAAAGGAAACCGGUUUCAAACUGGAACAACACUAGAGUAUACUUCAACGCAGAGGCAGUAGCUCAUCCACCCAGUGCCGUGUGCUCCCUUGCUUACUAUCCAGAAGAACAUCAAGCCUUUGUGGGUUCAUUGGAUCAGGAAUGGAUACCAAGAACAUAUGCAGAAGCUAUGGACAAUGAUGAAUGGAGGGAGUCAGUGAAUGAUGAAAUGGGAGCUAUGGAAAGAAACAACACCUGGUAUGAGACAGAGCUUCCAAGAGGGAAGAAAGCCGUGACCAGUAGACUCAUACACACCAUCAAGUAUCUUGCAAAUGGGAAACCAGAAAGAAAGAAGACCAGGCUGGUGGCAAGGGGAUACACACAAGUGUAUGGAGAAGACUAUCUAGACACCUUUGCACCAGUGGCCAAGCUUCAUACAAUCCGGAUAGUUCUCUCACUAGCAGUGAACCUAGAGUGGGAUCUUUGGCAAAUGGAUGUGAAGAAUGAUUUCUUGCAAGGUGAACUAGAAGAUGAAGUAUACAUGAGGCCACCUCCCGAUUGUACUAUCAGUUGCAACCAACCUUGGGUGGGAUCUUUGGCAAAUGGAUGUGAAGAAUGCUUUCUUGCAAGGUGAACUAGAAGAUGAAGUAUACAUGAGGCCACCUCCCGGAAUGGAAGAGAUGGUGAAACCAGGGAAUGUUCUUAGACUCAGAAAGGCUAUCUAUGGCUUAAAGCAAUCACCAAGAGCCUGGUACCACAAGCUAAGUACUACACUGAAUGGAAAAGGCUUUGUGAAGUCUCAAGCUGAUCAUACCUUCUUUACUCUCACAAGCAAGCAAGGGAUUGUGGUAAUCCUAGUCUAUGUGGAUGAUAUCAUCAUCACUGGUAGUAACAAGGAGGAAAUCAACUCAACCAAGACAUUCCUCAAGACUGCAUUUGACAUCAAGGAUCUAGGAGAGCUGAAGUACUUCCUCGGCAUUGAGAUGUGCAGAACAAAGGAAGGAUUGUUUCUGUCCCAAAGAAAGUAUACUUUGGACAUUCUAAAGGAGGCAGGAGACCUUGGAGGAAGAGUGGCCAAGACACCACUAGAAGAAGGCUACAAGGUUAUGCGUGAGGGGGAGUUUGAUGCAACUCCCUUUGAGGAUGUCAAGAGAUAUAGAAGAAUGGUUGGGAAGCUUAUAUAUCUUACUAUCACAAGGCCGGAUGUGUGUUUUGCUGUGAACCAAGUGAGCCAACAUAUGCAAGCUCCUAAGGUACAUCAUUGGAACAUGGUGGAAAGGAUCUUGAGAUACUUAAGAGAGGCGCCAGGUCAAGGAGUGUGGAUGGCUUGCAACAAGAGUACUGAAGUUGUUGGGUAUUGUGAUGCUGAUUGGGCUGGAGAUCGAGUUGAUAGGAGAUCAACCACAGGCUAUUGCACCUUUAUUGGAGGAAACCUAGUCACAUGGAAGAGCAAGAAGCAGAAGGUGGUCUCUUGCUCAAGUGCUGAGGCAGAGUACCGAUCUAUGAGGAAGCUUACUAGUGAACUCAUAUGGAUCAAGGGACUGCUAAAGGACUUGGGCAUAGAGAUCUCCACACCAAUGACUAUGCAUUGUGACAAUCAGGCAGCAAUACACAUUGCAUCAAACUCUGUGUUCCAUGAGAGGACUAAGCAUAUAGAAGUGGACUGUCACAAGGUGAGACAAGCAGUGGAGCAGCAAGUGAUUCUUCCAUGCUACACAAGAAGUGAAGAUCAACUAGCUGACAUAUUCACCAAGGCAGCCAGCAGCAAGGUUUGUGAGUUCAUUCAUCCUAAACUUGGACUCACGGAUCUUCCAUGUCAUUGAUCUCUCCUUCCAUGAAGUGUUCUACUCUUUUUCCUUGGUUAGGGUUUUGUCCCAUGAGGUUUUUCCUAACUAAGGUUUUAAUGAGGGAAUAGCUUCAUGGAGUCCAAGCUUGACUUGUCCCACAUGGUCAAGCUUGAGGGGGAGUGUUGACAUGAGAGCAUGAAUGACAUAGAGGAAGAAGAGAUCAAGUCAAGACGUGCAUCCGGAGUGAUCAAAGUGUGCUUGUCCGUACAAGUUUGAUCUAACUUGGCGUGCAAGACAAGAGGAGGAUGGGAUACUUGCCUUAAGAUAUUUAAAUGAUGUCGGCCAAGAGAAAGGAUCCGUUGAAGAAGAGGACAAGGUGGUUCAAAGGAGAGAGAGCCGUUUGGUGCUGUCGCUUUCCACCUUUGCUGUGCGCACCUUGCCUUGAUCAGUCCCCUUUUGUUUAUUCUUUUCUUCUAUGUCAACUUGCCAUUAGUUUAUUCAUUGUUGUAUCUAUUUAAGGCAUGUAACCAGAACCAAAUGAAUCAAGGAAAUGAGUUCCUCUUCUCUUUAGUCUUAUGCGAUCCUCUCUCACUCUCUCUCUCUCUCUCGAUUCUCCUCACCUUCUUCAUAAUUCUCAUAAUGGCUUAAACAAAUCUCAUAUUCUUUCAUGGUAUCAGAGCAACAUUACUCUUGAGACCUAAACCUUUUUCUUUCUUCCGCAGAUUCUCUGAGUUCUAAAUUCUAUUUUUGGCAAAGUUCAUCUUGUUCUUGAUUCUUUGUUUCCAGAAUUUGCCAAAAGUAGCAAAAACCAUCCGAAACCUUUUCUUUUCUUUUCUCUCUUGAUGGAUACCUCUGAGAACACAAA
This 6233-nucleotide long non-coding RNA is filed under the name Brassica napus (rape). RNAcentral's name for it is "long non-coding RNA (BNAP_LNC008475)". Lineage: Eukaryota; Viridiplantae; Streptophyta; Magnoliopsida; Brassicales; Brassicaceae. The record is from RNAcentral.